This 117-nucleotide microRNA precursor is filed under the name Sorghum bicolor (sorghum). Its description in RNAcentral is "MIR5565 microRNA precursor family". It matches the Rfam family "MIR5565 microRNA precursor family". The record is from Rfam by way of RNAcentral. Lineage: Eukaryota; Viridiplantae; Streptophyta; Magnoliopsida; Poales; Poaceae.
GUAUUCGGAUUCACAUCAAUCCACAUGUGUUGGGAACUUGGGAUGGAUUGGAGUGGAACUUAAACUAAAUUCCAACCCAAUCCACUUUAUCACAUGUGGAUUGGGGUGAAUCCGACA